Molecule: ribosomal RNA, 293 nt
Filed under: uncultured bacterium
Lineage: Bacteria
Description: partial 16S ribosomal RNA
Rfam family: Bacterial small subunit ribosomal RNA
Source: RNAcentral
GUGCCAGCCGCCGCGGUAAUACGAGGGGUGCAAGCGUUAAUCGGAAUUACUGGGCGUAAAGCGCAUGCAGGCGGUUUGGUCAGUCAGAUGUGAAAGCCCCGGGCUUAACCUGGGAAUUGCAUUUGAUACUGCCAAACUAGAGUCCUUGAGAGGGGGGUAGAAUUUCAGGUGUAGCGGUGAAAUGCGUAGAGAUCUGAAGGAAUACCAGUGGCGAAGGCGGCUCACUGGCUCGAUACUGACGCUGAGGUGCGAAAGUGUGGGGAGCAAACAGGAUUAGAUACCCCGGUAGUCCC